UAGGCCAUAGUUUAAAAAAAAUUUCUGAUUUGCAUUCAGGGGACGUCCUUUAGGACUGGCUUAA
Molecule: transfer RNA, 64 nt
Filed under: Birgus latro
Lineage: Eukaryota; Metazoa; Arthropoda; Malacostraca; Decapoda; Coenobitidae
Description: tRNA-Ala
Source: RNAcentral